RNAcentral lists this ribosomal RNA (253 nucleotides) under uncultured bacterium. RNAcentral describes it as "partial 16S ribosomal RNA". It matches the Rfam family "Bacterial small subunit ribosomal RNA", at positions 524 to 776 of the family's 1533-position model. The record is from RNAcentral.
UACGUAGGUGGCAAGCGUUGUCCGGAUUUACUGGGCGUAAAGCGCGCGCAGGCGGAUUGGUCAGUCCGGGGUGAAAUCUCACGGCUCAACUGUGAGCGGUCCCCGGAUACUGCCAGUCUCGAGGUGUCUAGAGGAGAGCGGAAUUCCCGGUGUAGUGGUGGAAUGCGUAGAUAUCGGGAAGAACACCAGUGGCGAAGGCGACUUACUGGACGAUUGUUGACGCUGAGGUGCGAAAGCGUGGGGAGCAAACAGG